UCUACGGGAGGCAGCAGUGGGGAAUAUUGGGCAAUGGGCGCAAGCCUGAACCAGCAACGCCGCGUGAAGGAAGAAGGCUUUCGGGUUGUUAACUUCUUUUCUCAGGGACGAAGCAAGUGACGGUACCUGAGGAAUAAGACACGGCUAACUACGUGCCAGCAGCCGCGGUAAUACGGAGGUGGCAAGCGUUAUCCGGAUUUACUGGGUGUACAGGGCGUGUAGGUGGGAAUGCAAGUCAGAUGUGAAAACCACGGGAUUAACCUUGGACCUGCAUUUGAAACUGUAGUUCUUGAGUACUGGAGAGGCAGACGGAAUUCGUAGUGUAGCGGUGAAAUGCGUAGAUAUUAGGAAGAACUCCAGUGGCGAAGGCAGUCUGCUAGACAGCAACUGACGCUGAUGCGCGAAAGCGUGGGGAGCAAACAGGAUUAGAUACCCGAGUAGUC
Molecule: ribosomal RNA, 443 nt
Filed under: uncultured bacterium
Lineage: Bacteria
Description: partial 16S ribosomal RNA
Rfam family: Bacterial small subunit ribosomal RNA
Source: RNAcentral